UAUGAAGUAAACUAAUAUAAGUUUUAAGAUUCAUACUCUUGCCAUGGUUUAGCCGCCCUUCAUAA
RNAcentral lists this transfer RNA (65 nucleotides) under Brachionus koreanus. Its description in RNAcentral is "tRNA-Met". The record is from RNAcentral. Lineage: Eukaryota; Metazoa; Rotifera; Eurotatoria; Ploima; Brachionidae.